UAUUAAAAAUUUCUUCCAUUUCUACUGUUAAAAACUGGCGUAGCUGAUAGAAUAACUAGAUAAUUACAUGUGCUGAUGUACAAGGACUAGUUUUUAACAGUAAAAAUUGAUGGAAUUUUUAACA
Non-coding RNA from Gossypium raimondii (Peruvian cotton), 124 nucleotides. The record is from Rfam. Lineage: Eukaryota; Viridiplantae; Streptophyta; Magnoliopsida; Malvales; Malvaceae.